Long non-coding RNA from Equus caballus (horse), 2304 nucleotides. The record is from Ensembl. Lineage: Eukaryota; Metazoa; Chordata; Mammalia; Perissodactyla; Equidae.
CCUACGUGGGGGAGAGCACUAAGCACAUUGGUGAGGCCGGAACAAAGUAGCAAGAGUGAGUCACAAAUGAUACAGUUGAAGCUAGUCCACCAAGGUUCAUGAAGGUGAGGCGGAGGAGUUGGAGGUGAUGGGAGAAGUCAGAGUGAGCUGCUUUCAGAGGGCCUGAGCAGGGGGAAUAUACGUUUUAGCAGAGGGGAGCAGGAUGGCGAGAAACCAGAAACAAAAAGACCCCAAAGAUGUCCCCACAGGAUUGGUGAGGGAAAGCGGGGACCUGGGAAGGGCGGUAGUCCUACCAUACAGACCUAGCUUCGGUCCUCUUUGUUACUUCCCAGGCUCAAGGGGUUAGGCUGCCCCAACCCUUCUGCCCCUAUGGCGGAAGUGGAAACUGUGGUUUCCAAAGGUCCUUCCUGAUCUGCAAUCUCUGUGAAAGAAACGGCUGGCCCGUGGACAUUUCUACAGAGAUAAAGUCAAAGAUCGGUUUGUGGGGGCGGCGACAGGGCACAGGCAGGAUUUGGAAGAUUGAGGCCUAAUGCUUUCCUUAUGUGGCCUUCCUAUUCAGUUAGCUCAGAUCACCGUCUGAUUGCCCCACCUGUGCUCUCCUUGGCAUCUCCCACUCACCUCACGCUUCUGACAUGGGUGCUGCCUGCUCAUUGCCAGCACAGAGAGAGGAGAAACAACUUCAUCCUGGCCUUCUACCCAGCCUGAAGCUGCAUGUGGCAUGAGGGUCCGUGUCCUAGCCCUUGACUGCUCCCAUGAGAAAAGAGAUGCAAAAUCAUAUUAAAUCAUCAUGUUAAUAUAGUUCAUGCCUGGUUCUCUCUCAGUUACCCAGCCAUCAUGCAAGAGGGUCCAAUCUAGACCCCAAGGAGAGGAACUGAGGCCCCCAGCCAAUAGCCAGCAUCCACUGCCAGACAUGGGAGUGAAGGAUCAAAUGCAGGACCGGUCAGUAAGCAGCUGAGGGAUCUCUGUCCAUGGCCCCGUAGUUGGCCCUGUGCUGCUAUGAGGAUGAAGGAGGCAGGGGCCCUGAAGCCCCUAGGAAUUUUAUUUGCUGUUUGGAGGCAUCAAGUUCUUAAUAAAAGUAGCAUCAACGCAGAAGACCUGGGUUCAUGUCACAGCUGAGCUCCUGCUCGCUGAGUCACCUGGGGUAGCCCACGGAGCCCUCUAAGCCUCAAUUUCUUCAGCUGCAAGUGGUCCUGAUGGCUGGUUUUGGAUCAAACAAUGCAGUGCAUGUGAAAAAGAGAUGAUAGGCUUUAAAAAGAGUUCUUCCUUCCACAGGUAUCUAUUGGGGGUCUUUUACUGUGCAAAUGCUUAGGAUCUAAAGAUACGAGUAACAGGCCAGACUCCUGCCCUCAGGAAGUUCCUCCAGUGGCUGUUAUUAUUGAGGAUAGUUGAAUAAACGGGGCCACUCACAAGAAGCAAAUGGAGAGCUUUGUCAGAUUAUGGAAGAUUGUAUUUCCAAAGAUAGCAGCCCCCUACCCCACCCCAUGCUCUUCUUGUCACGUGACAGACUCCAGGGUGGAGUUAUGUUCCCUCCCCUUGAAUCUGAGUGGGGCUGUGACUGCUGUGACCAAUGGGUUAUGAGGAAAGCAGUGUAGAUCAUCAAAAGGUGAGGUCAUAAAAAGAAUAUAGUUCAUGCCUGGUUCUCUCUCAGUUACCCAGCCAUCAUGCAAGAGGGUCCAAUCUAGACCCCAAGGAGAGGAACUGAGGCCCCCAGCCAAUAGCCAGCAUCCACUGCCAGACAUGGGAGUGAAGGAUCAUGCAAACAAUUCCAGUUCCCAGCUUUCAAGCCUUCCAGGUGUGACCCCAGACAUCGUGGAGCAGAGACAAGCCAUCCCCACUUUGCUCUGUCCAAAUUCCUGACCCACAGAACCCAGGAACAUAACAAAGGGGGUCUCAUUCCCCUAAGUCUUGGGGUAAUUUCUUAGGCAACAUUAGAUAACCAGAAUAUAGAGUAACUUCAGGACAAGCAAGAAUGAGCAGCAUAUAAAUUGAAGCAGAAGUGCCCGAAAGGACUUGAGAAUUAGUCAGAACGGAAUGGCAUUAAAUGUGGAAAGCAUUACUGACCCUCGCCAUGUGGUUUCUAACCCUGUCCUAUCGUGACAUUGCUCCCUGAAAGGCCAUCAACCACCUCCCAACUGAUGAAAAAUAAACUUCAACCUUUUCUCCAUACUUAUUCCCCUUCAACUUUUUCUUCCCUUGACUUCCAGUCAAAAUGUAAGGUCAAUUACCACACAAACACGCUUCUCUACUGGUCUCUGCAUUGCUUUAUUCAUUAGUUGCUCCUCUUCCACCCACCUUGCCACUAAG